This 16722-nucleotide long non-coding RNA is filed under the name Homo sapiens (human). RNAcentral describes it as "non-protein coding ADAMTS9-AS2:14". Lineage: Eukaryota; Metazoa; Chordata; Mammalia; Primates; Hominidae. The record is from RNAcentral.
AGUCCUAUCCCUACGGUCCUGGAAUUGGGGGUUACUAUCUUGGAAUCUAGGGGCACUCCAGGCUCUGGGCUCAGACGGCUGGCUUCUGCCUACCCGAGCCUUAACCUUUCAAGGACCAGAAGGAUUCCAGAGCUCUUGCCCUAGGUCCUGGGGCAGCGAUGACUCACUGCAGCACCCCCUCCCACUUCGCCAAGCUGCCGUCUCCGCCCACCCCCAAACAAUCUCGACAGCGCAUUUCGGGAGCCACGGCUCCGGGCGCUUUGCUGGGGGCUAAAGGGGUUUAUCCCUUUCCUUGAAUCCCAGCAGGCUAGAACUACCCCCUCCCAGUCUUCAGGCUUGCCACGCUCUCCACCCGAUCCUUCCAUUGAAAGGCAGAGAAGGAAGGAUGUGCUUGGGAACUUUAAGACCCACGAACGACAGCGCACUGAUGGAGCAGCCCAGUGUCUGGGGCAAAGUCCUCGAGGUUCAUUCAUUCAGGAAGCCUCUGACCAGCCUUUACCAUGCGCUGAGUGAGAAGCUGAGGAUAAGGAAAGAGCAAGACCCCCAAGAAACCCUGAUGUCUGGCUGAAAGCCGAAGCAUGACGCAACUUUGCUAUAUUUCUCUCCAACAAGGAUUUGUAUAUUUUCGCUUUCUCCUCAAGUAACACCUGGACCUGCUCCUUUCCCUUCAAACGCUGAGGGCUCAGUCUCCAAGUUCCUUUAUGAAACAGGGUGUACCAUCAGAGACGCAGGUAUUUAUUGAAACCUGCUUUGUGCUGGGCAAUGUGCCAGAUGUUGGGGAUAAAAUGGUGAGCAGACAGAUCCUGUGCCUGUCUUUAUUGAGCUUGGAGCCUAGAGACUUCAGAAAUGAAGAUGCAAAGACAACAGGGGAAACCAUAUAUGUUUAUGGACAGUCAUGCCAAAGUAUGAUUGGAAGACAAAAAGAUUUUUGGCCAAUUCACUGCUCACUAACAUCUCCAUCAAAGGGAAAAACACACAUUGUAAAAUAAGAAUUCUUCAAAGACAACUUGAAGACAUCUGGGAAUUCUGAAGCCUGAAAAUUCCAUGAGUUCAUAGCAGUGUUCACUAAUUCCACUGAUCUAAAGACAAAAAGGAGAGUCAACUGCGUGCCCAAACUCAUUUCUGAUGAUUUCUUCCAUCCUAACUUUUCUGCCUCUCUGGGGGUGGUUAUGCCUGUGAAAAACAUUGAAGCUGUCAGGAACAGAGUCGGCUUUCAAGAUUGGAAUGUCAAAGUAGAGUCUUCUUUUCCUCAGACCAGAAGGGGCUUGGUUGGGUAAGAGUUUCCAGAUCUAAAUGGAGACAGGACUGGGAUAUAGGAGCUUGUACGGAUAAACAACACAAACACCUUGGGUAAGUGAUACACCAAGAGAGAUCAAAAUAGGGUAGGAACACGAUCCUAAAGCUAUGUGAGAUACGAAGCCAAGAGACCCUGUCUACAGGCUGAUAUGUAUUGCAACCAGAGGCCACCUACACUCAAGAAAAUUCUAAAUGAUGUAAUAGGUUGUGGACACUUUCUUGUAAAAAUGAUCGAUAUUUUUUUCUUAUAGGGAUAAAGCUUAAAAGCAUGGGAUGUAUCUCCAUUAGGAAAUAUGAAGUGAGUUGGUAUAUUACAGGUAGGUUAGACUGAGAUAAUUAUAAAACUGGGCUGAUUUUACAUAGAGAAGAACUUGAUUCCUAAAGGUGUUGAAGGACAAGAUGGGGACAGUUAUUGAAGUGUUCAGGUGCUGUCCUUUGUAGUCUGUAGCCUAUUAAAAUAAUACACAACUGAACACAGACCCAAGGAAAGGGGUUCUACUCAUCGCUAGAAUGUAAACUCUAAGAAGAUAAGGAUUUUGUCUGCUUCAUUUAUUACUGUAUUCCCAGCUCCUAAAAGAGUGUCCAGCACUUAGUAUCUGUUGGUAAGUACCUGUUGAAUUAAUUAACCAGUGAUGAGACUUUGGAAAGCAGCUAGUCCAUCUGUAAGAUUGUUUUCUCAUCUGUGAGAUGAGUCAGUUAGAUUAGAUGUUUUCUAAGCUUAUUCUAGUUUUAAAAUUGUAUAUUUCUAUAAGAAAUGAUAAAUGAAAAAUGUCCAUUCCUUUUUCAUCUCCAUCACCCAUCUCACAUCUUCCUUCAGUGCCUAUGUGAUCUGUUUGAGUAUAACCAGGUGUACAAAAGUACUAAGUGAUAUGAGAUGACUUCAGUAGUCCAGGGACUCUUUCUUCCCCCACUCUGUAAAGAGUUAUUUGCUUAAUUUAAUGUACAUUAUAAAAACAGAAUUUGUUUCUCAAUUUCAUUUAUACUCAUACUAUAGUUUACUUUUCACAUAAAUUUAAGGUACAAGGAAGUCAACUUAAAGAAAAUAUUUUAAGUAAAUUAUAAUGCAAGUUCUACACAGAUGUAGCGCAAACCACAAUGGUAGGACACAAGCAAUUGCUAUUUGAGAAAUAGGCCUCUUUGUCAGUACUUAUGGCACGUAUCUUAAAACCCGACUUUCACUAGUGCUCUCAAAGGAACUUAGUCACAAUUCAAGUGACCAUACCAUUUAGCUGAGGGCCCUUUAUUCCUGUUUAUGGUAAAAUAAUUGCCUUAGUUGUACUUUUAAAAAAUAUACUUUUUCUUCUUCUGACCGUAAUGGGCUAACUGCCAUUAAAGAGACCAUCUAUCAUAAACGAUUAGAGAACUGGAUAGAAUAUAUGAAGCCACUGUUUUUGGACAAUAGGCAGCACAAAACGAUGAUCCCUGAGAAAAAGGAAGGAAAUGAGGUGAUGCCUAUAAUUGCCCUGAUUUUUUGCCUGGAGAUACUGUCUGAACUGCUACUCUGGAAAGGAAAACUCAGGUGAAACAUGGGGCCUCACUAAGUAGAGGAGACAGGGUCAAUAUUGGGAAAGCUGAAAUGACUGGAAUUUGCAGGGCAGAAUAUGGGGAAGGAAGGAGCUAUGUAGGGAAAGAGCUCAAGAAAUACGCACAAAGGGGUCGGGUGCGGUGGCUCACGCCUGUAAUCCCAGCACUUUGGGAGGCCGAGGUGGGCAGGUUACUUGAGGCUAGGAGUUCAAGACCAGCCUGACCAACCUGGUGAAACUCUGUCUCUACUAAAAAUACAAAAAUUAACCGGGCAUGGCCGGAUGCGGUGGCUCCUGCCUGUAAUCCCAGCACUUUGGGAGGCCGAAGCGGGUGGAUCACAAGAUCAGGAAUUCGAGACCAGCCUGACCAACAUGGUGAAACCCUUUCUCUACUAAAAAUACAAAUAUUAGCUGGGUGUGGUGGUGCAUGCCUGUAAUUCUAGCUACUCAGGAGGCUGAGGCAGGAGAAUCGCUUGAACCCAGAAGGCGGAGGUUGCAGUGAGCCAAGACCGUGCCACUACACUCCAGCCUGAGAGACAGAGCAAAACUCCAUCUCAAAAAAAAAAAAAAAAAAAAAAAAUUAGUCAGGCAUGGUGGCAGGCACCUGUAAUCCCAGCUACUCAUAGGCUGAGGCACAAGAAUCACUUGAACCCAGGUGGCAGAAGUCACAGUGAGUGAAGAUCGCACCACUGCAUUUCCAGCCUGAGUGACAAAGUGAGAGACUGUCUCAAAAAUAAAAAUAAAAAUAAAAGAAUAUGCAAAGGAUGUUCUUGAGUUUUUGGCUGAUUAUGAAACUAUAUAGGGUAAGACUCCACAAGUGAAAGAACAGUACUUGGAAAGACAAUUACUGAAGAACUAUAAACUGAACAACUACCAGAUCUCCUCCUGAACUGAAAUAUAUUCAAGUUCCAGCCAAAGUCGAGACACACAAUUGAAUUUAUGCAUCAUUUAGUAGAGACCCCAAAAUAUUCAUGCCUCAGUAGUAAUGCAAAAUUGUCCCUACAAUAAAAACUACAGUAGCUCCCCCUUAUCCAUAGUCUUACUUCCUGGAGCUUCAGUUACCCACAGUCAACUUCAGUCCAAAAAUAUUCAAUGGAAAAUCUCAGAAAUAAGCAAUUCAUAAAUUUUAAAUUGUACACUGUUCUGAGUAGCAUAACGAAAUUUCAAGCCAGCCCACUCUGUCCCACCCAGAACAUGAAUCAUCCCUUUGUCCAGUAUAUGCUACCCUCCCAUUGGUCACUUAGGUUAUCAGAAUGACUGUGGCAGUAUCGCAGUGCUUAUACACAAGUAACCGUUGUUUCGUUUAAUAACAGCCCCCACAUGCAAGAAUAGCAAUGCUGGCAAUUUGGAUAAGCCAAAGAGAAGCCACAAAGUACUUCAAGUAAAAAUGUGAAAGUUCUUGACUUAACAAGGAAAAAAAAGUCAUGCUGAGGCAGCUGAGAUCUACAGUAAGAACACAUCUUCUAUCCUUGGAAUUGUGAAGAAGGAAAAAGAUAUUUGCUAGUUUUGCUGUUGCACCUCAAACUGCAAAAGUUACCACCACGGUUCAUGCAAAGUGCUUAGUUAAGAUGGAAAAGGAGUUACAUUUGUGGGUGCAAGACAUGAACAGAGAGGCAUUCCAAUCAAUAGCAAUCAGGUUCAGGGGGUACCUUCCUCAGUUUCAGGCAUCCACAGGGGGUCUUGGAAAGUAUUCCCCAUGGAGGGGGGCGGGGAGGGCUACUGUACUCCAUACUUGUUCUAAUAAAACUUUUUAGAAAUCUCAAAAAGAUUAAGCUAAUCUACAUGAAAUUUAAAUGCUUGCUAGAACAAAGCACAAUGCUCUUUAAGGGAGCAAAACUAAAUCCAGACAAUCAAUACUGUAACACAAUGUUUAGCAACAUGCAAUAAAAAAAUUACUAGACACACAAGAAAUUAAGAAAAAACGUCCUUUCCAUGACCAGGAGAAAAAUGCAUCAACAGAAAGAGACCCAGAAGUGAGAGAGAUGAUAAAAAUUAGUGGACAAGGACUUUCAAACAGCUAUCAGUAGUUUAAGUAUGUGUAUAAAAACAUAAAUGCAAUGAGAGAAAUGGGAACUGUAAAAAAGAACUUAGUGAAACUUCUGAAGCAGAAAAAUAUAAUAUCCGAAGUGAAAAAAUUCACUAGAUAGUUGCAAUAACAGUUUGAUAUUGCAGAAGAAAAAGGUCAGUGAGCUUGAAUAGAACAGAGAGGAAAGUAUAGUCUUUUCAACCAUUAGUGCUGUAACAAUCAGACUGUAUUGAAAAAGACUAACUUUGGUUCCUACCCCUUACCACACGCAAAAAGUAAACUAGACACAGAUCACGGAACUAAAUGUAAAACCUAAAACAAUAAAAUUUUAUGGCCUGGCCAUAAUGGAUUUCUUAGACCAUAAAAAGUACUAACCAAAAAAGACCAAAUUGUUAGAUUUCCUCAAAAGCAAAAACUUUUGCUACUGACAAAGCACCAAUAAAAAAUAAGUCAAGUCAAAGAUUGAAAGAAAAUAUUCACAGUGAACAUCAUAGAGUUGUAUCUGGACUAUAAGAAGAACUUUUAUGACUCAAUAAUAUAAAGACAACUACAUUUUUAAGAGGAGCAAAAGAUUUGAACAUACACUUCACAGAAGAAUAUAAGGGUCAGUAAACACUAAAAGAUACUCAACAUCAUAGUCACCAUAGAAACGCAAUUUUAAACCACAAUGAGAUACCACUACACACCUACUAAAAUAGCUAAAAUGUAAAAAGGCAGAUAUUACCAAGAUUUGGAGAGGUUUUAGGAGUACUGGAAAUGUCAUACAUGGGUAGUGAGAGUGUAAAAUAGUAUAAACAUCUUAGAACACAAUUUGGUAGUUUCUUAUAAAGUUAAAGACAUGCUUAUCAUAUAACUCACCAACCCCUUUUCUAGGUAUCAGCCCAAGAAAAAUAAAAAACAUAUGUCUGCUACACAGACUGCUUGUCUACCUAUGUAUCAACACUUGUUGAACAUAAUGUGAAUGAAUCUCAAAAAUAUUUUGCUGAGUAAAAGUGCCCAAUCCCCAAAAACUACACAUCAUAUGACUCAAUUUGUUUGAAGAUCUAAAACAGUUGAAGAAACCGAAGCACAAAGAAUAACUUGUCCAAGAUCACAGAGUUUAGGAAGUAAGGAAGCAGGGCUUUGAGCUUUGCAUCAAGUGAUGACCCAUAAAUGCAAAUGGAAUACAACAGGAGUGGGUCCCUAAAGUCCCACCCAGAGAAUGCCCUUCUGCCAAAAAAUUUCGGAUUGAAACAGCAAAAACACCUAAGCAACUGAUAGUCAGGUAUGGUAUUUUUCGAUGUCCAACUAUAGAACUGAAAAGAUCUUUUCUAUGGUUAGUCUACACGAAUUUCUGUUAAAGAAGGAACAAAUGCCAAACGUAGGGCAGGGUACUGUUUGACAGUAAAGAAGGAAAUUUUAGAAUUGCUUUCUGGUGGUAUCACUUAUUGCUUAUUGUUCUCCACCAAAAAGCAACUUUUAAAAAUCAGCAAUGAUUGAAGACUGUGGCUUGCUAAAGAGGACAGAUUUUUCUGGUCUAUUAUUCUGGAGUGGGGGCAGAGUGGAUGUUUGCUUAGCAGGCAGAGAGCUCAGUACUUUACAUGUGGCAUGGCAUGGUAGAUAAGGUUAGGAAUUAUGUCCUUUUUUUGUUUGUUUUUUAAGAUUUGGAACCUAGGCUCAAAAUGUGCUAAAGGUCACAUAGCUGCUAGGUGCUAAAGUGAUGAUUCAAAUCCCUGGUUUAUCUGACUACAACAGCUCUUGCUCCUUCCAUGAUCCUACCAUUGCAAUCCCACCAUAGAAAUCCUAAAUACAAAUAAGGACAGAUAUCAUUGUCCAAAAUGAGUUUCCAUUGUCGGUUUAUCUGUUGAGAUCGACAUUUUGGCUUUGAAAAAGAAAAUUACUGGUUAGUGUUUCACCCUAUUUCAACCUCUCUUUCAGCUUCCACAUGAGAUGAUUCCCUUAAAAUUUUAAUGCUUUCAAACGAACGAAAUCUAGAGAUAUUAGCUACAUUUUCCAAACAAACAAGGGGUAGGAAGGGUGGGAAAAUAACCUAACCUUGUUCUUGAGAUCAGAAAUGCUUAAAAGCAUGUGUUAAAAGCCCGAGGGAGAAAUAUUCAGUAUUUUUCACGAGUUCAGCUCAGGCUCCAUCGCCUAAUCAUUUUCUUAUCGCCAAAUAUUACAUAUUUACACAGGUGGUUCUCUGAUUUAAUUGUUUGAAAGCAGUCACUGGAAGCAAAGCUAUGUGACUCAGCUUUGGUGAUGUACUCCAGCUGGAGUCUGACAGGUAAAUAAUUACCACUAAUCAAAGCCUAGAUGAAUUCAGGUUCUUCAAAGUCAGAUGGGUGAGAAGGGGACAGGGAUUAUUAAUGAACUGUUAGGAAUAUCGGGAGAAAUAAGAGCAGGACAGUCUAGUCUCAGAUGAAAACAACAAAGAGAACAAUUAACAUCAGUAAGACCUCGGGUGCCAUGUGUAUUACAGCACAAAGAUCUUUGGCUGGGCUCCGUUAUUCCCCAUUCAGGCAUAAUUAGUUUGGGUCUCUUAGGAGCCUCUCUGGGUCUACGAAACUCAGUUGGAUGAUGAGCUAGGUCCUUCUCGGUUCUCACAGGGUAUAAUUGCAUGAUUUCCUUAAGCAGAAUUCAGAUUUCUUGACAUCAAGAGGGAAAAUCUCUUUCUCUUGCUUCUGCAUGAGUAAAUAUUGUUUAAAAUAAAAAUUAAGAAUGAACACAUUUGCUCCUUAAAAGCAAAUCAUAUGAGAUGAGUGCAUAUUAAGUGAACAAACUUAGAUGGGAGGGGGGACUAACCAUCCCUAGGGGGCCCACAGAUUUCAAUAGAAAUUUCCAUGGAGUUAUUAUGAAGGAUAACUUCCCUGAGGCUUUAGCCCCUGCAUGAUGGAUUCAAGAGCUUUACUUAAAAGUCAGCCUGUACUGGCUUGUAGAAAGCUUUCAGCCUCUUUUUGCAAGUCAUUUUUCAGCUUCCUGGUAAUGAACAAAACAGGUCUGAUAAUUUUCAAUAAUAAUCUCAGGAAAUGUGUGGUGUAGGACUGCAGCUUUCAAGCAGUUGACACAGAAAUCUAGUUCAGUCAGUGUGGAGAGUGGUGCCUGAAGACGCCUUCUGUGUUUUGGGAUCAGCCAGGAGCGCUGUAUCAGCCACAACAAGGAUAUAUUUUGACUGGUUUUCAUCAGUUUGACUUGAGUGGGUUUUUUUUUCUUUUUCUUUUUUUUUCUGCCUCUUGUAAAAGCAUUUGGCUCUGAAGCAGAAAAAGAGUUUUUUAGUUGUAAUUCAAAGUACUCUUAUUGUCUCAUAAAAUGUGAGCUGGAAGAUUUACCUUAUGGUUUGGCUGCUGGCUGGAAGUAAGAAGUAAGCAAGAGUCCAGUGCAUCAGGGGAAAAUAUUAAAUGACCCCUUAAGAUUCUCUUUAGCCUGAAAUUAUGGUCCGUACCCUUUUCACCCUGAGCAGAAUUCCCAACAGGCCCUUGAAUGAGGAGAUCUGGGAGAAACAUGCCUUCUUUGGUCAGAAUGAGCACCCCAAAUAUAAUAAUCCAAAAGAAAAAUAGCAACAUCUUAAGGAAAUGGUUUUGAAUGAGAUCUUCCAAGACACAAUAGUAUGUGCUGACUCAGGGAAACAAGGCGACAUGCUGAAAACAUUUGCAGGCCUGGAAAAUAACUGGUUUAAUAAUUCAAGAUGCUUUUAAGUUACACAAAACUACAAAAAAACAAAUAAACCUCCAUUCCCAAAGUGAUGUUAUAUGUGAGCCACUCGUGAAAUGAAAGAAACAGAGCUUAAAGUCUGAUGCAAAUUCAGCUUUGUGAAACUCUUAAACAACUGACAAAGAAAUUUACCACCCCACACCACAUCCCAAAUGGACUAAUGGAAAUAUUCUUUUCAUGACUUCAAAAUAUUUAGAUGAAAAGUGAAAUAUUUAGUCAAUACCCUAGAUGUAUUUUCAUCUGGGUAUCAUGCAUCUGAGUGUUUCCAAGGGGAUUUUCCAAGUGUUCCUAGGAUAUACAUCAGGGUGUCUCAACCCUGGCACUAGUAGCACUAGUAAUGCUUUGGACUGGAUAAUUCUUUGUUGAGGGAGUUGUCUCCUGCAAGGUGGGAUAUUUAGCAGCAUUUUUAGUUUCUACUCAUGAGACACCAGUAGCACUCCCCAAGUUGUGACAACCAAAAAUGUCUCCAGAUAUUGCUAAAUGCAAAAUUGCCAGGAGCUAAGAAUAUACUUCAUUUUUACUCAUUAAAUCCCAAAUGCAUCCUAUGAAAUACUGUUUCUGUUAUGAUCCUAUUUGUUCCAACUUUAUAAAUAACUAAAUGUGGCUUAGAAUGCAUUAAGUGACCUGUUUGAUUUCACAGUCUACUAAAGACAGGACUUCAACAGAGCCUACACUCUUUGUCCUAACACUGUAGGCACACACAAUUUGACUUAAACAAUACUGUAGAUGCUCUAUGGUCUAAGAGUUCCAAACAUACAGAAAUAAACACUUUCUUCAAAGAAUCACAGAAUGACUCUAUUCAAAUGUCUUCUCAGUUCAAAGAUGUACAUUGGAAGUCAGGAAGGACCACACAGUUGUCCAUGCCUGGAUGUGGGUAGCUGAGCCAUAUGUAAUUGCUUCAAUUUGCUGCUUAUUACUUGUACAUUCUUUCAGUUACCUGAGUGGAUAGCUAAGUCUAAAGAGCCCAUCAGAUCCAUCAUAAAGCAGAUGGUGUAAACACUAGUUGACAGUAAACAUAUUGUGACAAUGGAAAGGGAAGAGAAUUUGUGAGAUAAACAUGCCUAAGGUUUUCUGUUUACUAGCCCUGGAAAUUUUUGAAAAUUAACUUAUUUUAGCUUCUCAUUCCUUUAUCUGAAAAAGAAUAAUUGUAGCUAUCUUACAAGGUUGUUGUAAGAAGCUAGUACAUGCAAAGCCCAUGAUAUAGAACUUGGUAUGUAAUAGGCACUUGAUAUAUGGCAGCCAUUAUUGUGAUUCAUUUAAUGGCUAUGAGACACAACAGGAGAUCCCUCUAUUUUCAUGAGAUGAUUGGUGGAGGAGAGGAACCUGAUAAUGUUUACUGAGCUUUUACUACAUGCCAAGCAAGCACUGUACCAAGUGCUUUACAUGAAUUAUUGGAUUUCAUUCAUGAAGUUGAUUCCUUGCUGAUUAUAUUAAGCACUCUUUCUUUUGGUUUGUUUACUUAUCUACUAUCUGUCUUACUUACUUACAGGAGGGCAAGGAGCAUGUCUGUUUUAUUCUCUGCUAUAUACCAGUGCCUUAUACCUCAAUCAAUGUUUGCUGAAUUAAUAAAUUAAUGAAUCUGUGAAAGAAAGGAUGAGCCCUCUAGAAAUGAUCUUUGACUCUCUUCUAUCAAGUGCUCUUGAUUCUUUCACAAGCAGCAUUUCUGGGAUGCAUUCAUUUCUUUAUCAUUCCUACAGCCAUAGGCCUGCUCCUGACUGUCACGGCCUUAAGUCUGGACUGUGGCAGCCACAUCGUAAUUCUUAUGUGGUUCUAGCUUCUUCUCACUCCCAGCCAAGCUCCUCACUGCUGCCAGGGUAAUAUUCCUCCCACACCCUCAUCAAGAAGCCUCGCAUGGAUCAUUGUCAUGGACUAGGUCCAGACAAGCAUCUUCCACUCAGAACCAAAACCUUUCAUGAUGGACCCCAGCUUUCCCUAACCCACCUCACCUUCUACCAUUUACCAAUCCCGCCAUUUAUUUGGUGUAUAGUUUAUUAGCUGCCUCUCAGUACAAGGUACUGUGUCCUAGGUACACUUCAAUCAAACAUGCUUCCUGUCCUAUAGAGCAUAAAAUAUAUUUGGGGAGAAAAGCAUAAAAACAAUUGCAACACGGUAUCAAUCCAUUUGAAAGGAGCUGUACAGGGUGCAAGGUAGGUUCCUGGGAAUGUCUGUAACCCACACUUGGGAGAUCAGAGAAAGCUUCCCAGAGGAGAAAAGAUAUCACCUGACAUCCAAAAGAGCUUUGCUAGAAAAAUAGCACAGAGAGAAUACAUGUGUUAACCCUUGAGAGGAAUGAGUAUGGCUCUCUCAAACUGAAAAAAGUUAUUAUCUGGAGAGUAGAGUGUGAAGUAGGUGGAGGAGAGGAGAGGAAUGACAGAUGCUUUGAAGGAGUGAGUGCCAGUCACAGAGAGGGGCUGUUACCUACUUGAACUCUACUCUGAAGACAAUGAGAGAUCACAAAGCAAUUUUGAAUAGGUUGAGAUGUUAUUGCUUGAGAUUAAAAGGGGAUGGUACUGCAAUGGACACUUAAAUAAGUUACCAUUUCUUCCUUAUAAAAUAUAGGCUUAUAAAACAAAUUCACACUCUGGUUCCAGAGCUGUAAAGGAAAUGUCAACUACAGUGUAGAAAGGUGAUUUUGGCCUUGGAGCCUGGGAGAGAUCUGAAGAGCCCACACUCAGGUCUUGCCUGAGCUCUGUCAACAACUUUGGUUCUGCUCUGUGCCUCGGCUUCCUCAUCUGUCAAAUAACAGGGAUUAACUGACUAUAUGACCUCCCAGGCCUCUCCCAGCUCCUCCCUUCUCUGAAUCCUGGCCAGUGGUCAUAAGGCUGAAGAUUUGCUAAGAGUCACCCUUGAGGAGCUUGUUAAACUCACUCUCCAAAACGCAGGUAUUGUAAAUGCUGACAUUAAAAAAAAAAAAAAAAAAAAAAAAAGGUACUCCAGGUGAAUCUCAGGCAGGGAGGGAUUCCUCAGACAAAGCUUUGAGAAACUAUGAGAAAAAUGAGUCUCUUCAUUGAAACAGGAAUGAAGCCUGGGAAGGGCCCACUCCUUCAGGCAUUGGCCUGUGAAUCAUCAAAAGGAGACUCAAUCCCGCAAUUAAACCCUUAGAACGUAGAAGCCAAAUAAGAAUAGAUCAUCUCAAGGAAUUGAAAUGGACAGAAUAAAAAUCUCCCCUUAGUGCUGUAGUGCUGUGCCCUGCCCCGUGCCAAGCACUUGAUCCUCAUUACUGCCUGUUAGUCACAGCCUGCUGCAUGGGCAGAUGGGCUGCAUGGUCAGGUUCUGAAGCUAGGGGGCACAACCAGGGAGCAAGGACGCCUUUGGCCUUUGUGGUGAGGCGCAUGCAUCACAAAUGAUGACAGGCUUUGGUUAGCUUUUCUAACAUCCCAUCAUUUGUUCAUUGAUGUUUCCGCCACAUAUAGAACAGGUUUGCCCUUUGCUUUCAUGUUGCUUCCCUAACAUCUUUUCAUUUUAACCGAAACAACUAACAUGUCAAGAUAUUACCAUAAUAUAUGAUUGAAAAUAUGCCACUUUUUGAGAACGUGCUCAAGGGAAUCUCCCACAUUCCCUUUGCCUUCCAGCUAUGCCAUGAAGUAGGUAAUAUCAAAAUCGAAUGCUUCUAAGAAUUCAUCUAUGGAAAUCUUUGCAGGAAAUAAUCCAUCAACCUUUGAGAUAGGCAGGCCUUUAAAACCAGGGUGAUUCCCUGCAUACAAAACCAUAACUAAUGGCAAAUUAGAAUAAGCCUAACAUCCGGUACUCUCGAUCAACAAGAAAAAAAAAAUGGAACCUAAGGAGAAUAAGAUUUCAAAGGCGAAGUGCAGAUUCAGAAUUAACCAAGGAAAUAGGUGUUCUGACAUUAAGAAAUAUUUCUUGUUGUCACCGUCAGAAUAUUUUUGACAUUGAGGAGAUGACACAAGAGCCUAAACAGGAUGAGAAUACUGAGCUUUUAAGCAGCAUUUGCCUUGAUUUUUACUUUAAAUUCACUGGACCCUUCUGCUGCAAAGAUCAAUUUUCCAGAGGGAACUUAUUCACCAAGAUCCAGUACUAAUUACUUUGUCAGUGUAACUCCCAUGGAGAAGAAAGCUCAUAUCUUAGAGGACAGGGCAGCAUAAGUGGGGCAAAAUGGACUUCGGAGGCAGGCAGACCUGGAUUUGAAUGCUCGCUCCACCACUCUCUAGCUGUGUGUCUUUGUCAAGUUGCAAAACUUCCCAAAGCCUAUGCUUCCUCAGCUGUAAUGGGAAUAACAACCAGGAAUUUAAAAAUGUAUUAUAAGAAUGAGAGGCCGGGCACAGUGCUUCAUGCCUGUAAUCCCAGCGCUUUGGGAAGCCGAGGCGGAUGGAUCACUUGAGGCCAGGAGUUAAGACCAGCCUGGCCAACAUGGUGAAACCCCGUCUUUAUUAAAAAUACAAAAAUUAGCCAGGUGUGGUGGCAUGCACCUGUAAUCCCAGCUACUUGGGAGGUUGAGACAUGAGAAUCACUUGAACCUGGGAGGUAGAUGUUGCAGUGAGACGAGAUCACGCCACUGCAUGCCUCUACAACCUCCAACUCAGAGGCCUGUUAGAAAAUGAGCUUCUGAACCUGGAAAACUGUGCACUGUUCUACAGACUCAGCCAAAACAGGCCACGUGUCUCAACAAUCUCCACAGUAGUACAAAGGUUUCCUUACAGUUUAGUAGCAGGCAUUGUUUAAUGCAGGGAUUUUCAACAUUCUAUUGCCAAAAAUUCCAUUAAAUCAUGUUUUUGAAGCUCUUGCAUACAAAAUAGGUGAUAUUUAUUCAACAAAUUAUUGUUUCACUUCUUAUUAAUCUAAGGUAUAAAAAAUUUUCCCAUAGAGGUUUUGAAUGAACACCAUUCAUUCAUCAGUAAAUGUCUAUGCAGUACUAUGUGUGAUAUGCUGGGGACACAAUGCUGACAGAGACCUGAUUCCUGCUCGCAGUUUGUUGGGAAGAUGGACAAGUGAAAGCCAUGACAGUGAGAAAGAGCCGUGACAAGGUAUUUCUUUGGAGGCCAAGUCACAUGGGAACCUCUUUGUCCACCUUCCCUCUCAGGGCCCAAAUAUCCCUCUCCAAAGAUUCAGAAGCAAAAUGGGAGGAAGUUGACAAUGAUGACAAUCUAUGCCUGACUUCAGCCCCAAGGAAGGUUUGACCUAGAGAGGUGUGAAGAUGUCAAACCUACACUGUCCAAUAUGGUAGCCAGUAGCACAUGUGACUCUUUACAUUGACUUUUAAAUGGACUACAAUUAAAUAAAAUUUAAAAAUCCAUUUCACGGGCAUACCAGCCACAUUUCAAGUAUGUCGUAGCUGCAUGUAACUAAUGGCUACUAUACCGGAAAGCACACACAGAAAAUGUUUCAUCAUCACAUAAAAUUCUGUUGAACAAAUCUGUGUUGAAUAACAACACACUUAGGACUGUGUUCAAUCCUAAGUUGAACACAAUCCUUAGGAUCUUGCUGAAUGGACAGAGCUGCAGUGGGAAAGGAGAAGAGUGAGGCUCUAGGAAAAUCCUGCCCUCUAAAAAAUGAAGGGCUCGUUCUAUGGUUGGCCUCCAUGCCAUGACCAAAGAUCAUGGACAGGUUAAAUCGAUUAGGAAAGCACUUCUCACAUAUCUAACCUGCCCUGCCAUGGGUUCAAUUUACGUAGUACACUGGACAAUGUAGCUUGAAUCCUAAAUUCAAAUGUGUUAAAUAUUCUUAGUAUUCCGUCUGUAUACUAACAAAGAAAAAAAUGUUAAGUGACUGUGCCACGCUCUCCUUCCAGAGCAGUGUUUCUUAAUUUCAGCACUACUGACAUUUUGGGCCAGAUAAGUCUUUGCUGUGGGGGCUUGUCCCACGCACUGCAGGAUGUUUGGCAGCACCCCUGGCCUCCACCCUCUAGAUGCUGGGAGCACUCUCCACCUCCACCCCCAUUGUAACAACUAAAAAUGUUGCCAGACGUUACCCAGUGUACGCUGGAGGGAAAAAUCACUCCAGGGUGAGGGCCACUGAUCUAGAAUAUGAUACAUGGCAUCUGUGAUAUGAGAAAAUGACCUUGGGCCUGGUCGUAAAAGAAUGUGCCACCUCCUCACCUGAAACACAACCAAGCAGUGGCCCGUGACUGACUUGGCAAAAUAACACUUUGUUCAGAGGAAGCUCAUAAAACAGUUUUGGCCGGGAGGAUGAGCUAACCUCAUAAUAGGUACUUGAGAGAAGCCACCCCGCUAAUGCAUGCUGUGUACCAUGAUUAGGAUUGACUUAACUAGGGUGAAGAAAUCAUAUAAUUUGCUGUGUCUACAGAUAUGUAAGUAAUCCAAAUGUGUGUUUCUUUUUUAAGUAUCAAAGGAUAAUUCUAGAAUAAAAUUCAUAGUCACAGUCAUAUUAAAAAACGUCCACAUUUUCAAAAGUCUAACUACAUUUUUCACUCUCCUCUAAAAAUGGAGACACAACACUGUGUUCUAACCUGAAGAUUUGCAUACUCAAUUCUAACUCAAAACUUUAUCUGCUGACAUCCGUGCUUCAUAAAUAAUUCCCAUGUGAUAAUUAUGUAUCUUGAGCAGAAUUACCAAUGCAUUUGUCUUGAAUGCUUAAUAUAUUUAAUGGGAAAUGUCUCGGGAAUUUUCAGUUCUGUCACUGCCAAGAGGAGGAAGUAUUAACCAUUCAGAAUAAGAUACUCACAUUAGAUUUUGUGCAUUAAGAAAGUCACAACUGAGGCUGUAGGACUUAAAUAGAUGUUUCUCCAGAGAAACAAUAGUCACUACUACACUCCCUUUCCUCCCUUAAAAGGCUGUCCAUUCCUAAAGGGUAGGGACUAUAUGUUCUUCCAGUACCUCUACUAGUGUUCUGUGCAUAUUAGGCAUUUAAUACAAUUUUUGUGCAUGAACAGACAGACUCAGAACAAAGCCUCUGAGUAUAUUGCCAUCCAGCUUGGAUGAGGAUAUAAGUCUCUUAAUCCCCAACUUAUCUUGUUUUCUAACACAAGCAAUAUAUGGGGAAUUAUGCUUAAGAGGCUGUGCCACUUUGUAUUUAAAAACCCAACUCUGUUUUUUAGACUCCUUGUUCCUUAAGUUGGUUAUGUGUUAGGUGACCUUGCUAGUUCCCUAAUUUUUCCAAGUUUCCAUUUUCUCACCAAUAAAUCGAGACUAAUUAAUAAUGACACAUUAAUUUGAGGUCUAAAUGAGAAAAUCUACACAAGGCUUUUAGCACACUGCCUGACACAUAGAAAGUGUUUUCUAAAUGCUAGCUAUUAUUUUUAUGGCAUAAUUCUGUCAUAGAUCCAAAAAGACUUUUUUAUUUUUAAAAAAUCAUAGUCGCAUUUUUUUAAUUAUUACUUUUCUUCUCUUUGAAGUCAAUCCUCUCAACACAGCUUGAGAAUUGCAAUGAAUUUGGGGAUCUGAGAAACAAUCUUUUCUAAAUAUUUGUAUGUUAUUUGGAAACAAUUACAGUGGCAAAAGAGAACAAGAGGCUACCUUUUAGUAUCAAUCUAUCUGUACACUUAAAAAAAAAAAAAAAAAGAAAAAAGCAGCCCAUGACAAGUACAUGCUGAUUUUUAAGAAGAGGUGAGGUAAAAGUGGUACAGCUUUAUUAAGUACAAGAACUUAACAAUCCCUUUUAUUAAACAGAACUUGAAUUUGUAUUACACUGAAUUUAUAGAUCAAUUUGAGGAGGAUUGAUAUGGGUAUGAUAUGGAGUCUUGUUAUUUAAUAAUGUGGUUUCUCACUUAGGAUUGUCUUAUAUCUUUCAAUAAUUUUAGAAUUCUUUUUUAAAAGUUCUUGCAUAUCAUUUCUCAGGUUUGCUUUAAACGGCUGUACAGAUUUUUGAAUGGGGUAUUAUUAAUUGUUCGAAUUGGUUAAAGCAAGAAUGCUAUUGUUUUUGUAUAUUGAUCCUCUAUCCAAAAAAUGUACUGAAUUCUCUAACUACUGCUAGUUUGCAGAUUUUCCUGGAUUUGCAAAGUUAAAAAUCAUAUGCAAAUAAAUAAUUUUGUAUCUUCCAUUUUACUUUUGUUAUAUUUUAUUUCUCUUGCCUUAUUUAGUUAACUAGAAUGUCCAGUUAAUAUUAAAUGUGGAUAAUGUCCAAGGGCAUUGUUUGCUUAUAUUUUCCUUAAAAGGAAUGCUUCUAAUGUUUAACCAUUAAUAUAAUGUUAGCUAUACAUUUUUUUAUUGACUAAGAAAGUUUAUUUUUUCUUAAUUCAAGACGGAUUAAAGACUUAAAUGUUAGACCUAAAACCAU